AUGCUCGUCCUGCAAGGCAUUCAGAAAUCGACUCCAACGGCAGCCUUCGAGGGCGUCUUCACCUUGUGCCCGCAGCUGCAGAUGCUACACCUCAGGUCCUGCGGCUGCCCCUGGGACACGGACCUGUUGGUGGACGCCCCCAGCUCGCAGAUCAGGGAGCUCGUCCUUGACAAGUGCAGGUUCCGACAUGUGCGGAUGAGGACCCUUCCCAGUCUCGAGAGCCUAGCCUCCAUGGACACCAUGCUACACUUUGAGUCCGCUUCAUUUCCCUGCCUCAGGCAAUGCAAACACACUGCUAGGAUUGGUACCAUUCUUAGACCGCUAGGACGUCGGAGUGAAUACAUUGGGCAUCAGUGUGAGCUUGGCUCGUUUCUUGGAUGCACUUCGGACAUAACCAACCUGGUCAUCCGGUUCACGGGACCUAGACGAUGGAUCAUGCUGGCAUCUAGCUCAUCGUCCUUGUUGCCCAAGCUGAGGAAGCUGCUUGUCGCCGAUGUGCCUUCCUCCUGGGAUGUCUCGUGGCCCCGUCUCCUCCUCGAGAUGGCGCCAUCCCUCGAGAUCCUUCACAUCCACAUUGCUCCUUGCAAGGAGAAGCCCGGAGAUUUAAUAUCCUGGCAGCCGACCAAGCUUCGGCGGCAUCACUUGAAACAGUUUGUGGUGUCUGGUUUUGAGGGAACAAAGAGGCAGAUUUACCUUGUCAGGUUUGUCAUUGGAGCAUCGACGGCCUUACGCCGUGUAGCCUUGUUCAAGAAUGGGCAUGCUCAGGAGAAGGGGCACUGGGACUGGGAGAUGGUAACGGAGCAGCACUCAUGGACCGACGAGGAGAAGGACACUAUGCGGAAGGAGAUUAUGGAUGGGGUUUCUUUCUCCAGCCCGCCUGCUCGAUUGGUUUUCGGUUGA
Molecule: ribosomal RNA, 900 nt
Filed under: Triticum aestivum (bread wheat)
Lineage: Eukaryota; Viridiplantae; Streptophyta; Magnoliopsida; Poales; Poaceae
Description: partial small subunit ribosomal RNA
Source: RNAcentral